Molecule: unclassified non-coding RNA, 156 nt
Filed under: uncultured Hemicarpenteles
Lineage: Eukaryota; Fungi; Ascomycota; Eurotiomycetes; Eurotiales; Trichocomaceae
Description: sequence contains ITS2
Source: RNAcentral
CUGCCCUCAAGCCCGGCUUGUGUGUUGGGCCUCCGUCCCCUGGGACGGGGCCCGAAAGGCAGUGGCGGCGUCGUCCGAUCCUCGAGCGUAUGGGGCUUUGUCACCCGCUCUUGCAGGACCGGCCGACGUCCAGUCGACCUCCAAUCUUUCUCCAGA